RNAcentral lists this ribosomal RNA (360 nucleotides) under uncultured Psychrobacter sp. Its description in RNAcentral is "bacterial SSU rRNA". It matches the Rfam family "Bacterial small subunit ribosomal RNA", at positions 1000 to 1359 of the family's 1533-position model. RNAcentral also lists the same sequence under 1 other name. Lineage: Bacteria; Pseudomonadati; Pseudomonadota; Gammaproteobacteria; Moraxellales; Moraxellaceae. The record is from RNAcentral.
GCAGAGAUGCGGGAGUGCCUUCGGGAAUUAGAAUACAGGUGCUGCAUGGCUGUCGUCAGCUCGUGUCGUGAGAUGUUGGGUUAAGUCCCGCAACGAGCGCAACCCUUGUCCUUAGUUACCAGCGGGUUAAGCCGGGAACUCUAAGGAUACUGCCAGUGACAAACUGGAGGAAGGCGGGGACGACGUCAAGUCAUCAUGGCCCUUACGACCAGGGCUACACACGUGCUACAAUGGUAGGUACAGAGGGCAGCUACACAGCGAUGUGAUGCGAAUCUCAAAAAGCCUAUCGUAGUCCAGAUUGGAGUCUGCAACUCGACUCCAUGAAGUAGGAAUCGCUAGUAAUCGCGGAUCAGAAUGCCG